GUCAAGAAAAGAGAAAAAGAAGAAAAAGUCGAUAAUACUGCAAAGCUUACUCCAACUUUAAGGAAAAGCAAUUAUAAUAUUUAAGGUUCAAAGACCAUAUGAUGCAGAGGACCAGGUGUAUGCUCACACUGGGAUAAUUCUUGUUCCAUAAGUGCGGUGUAGAUCCCCUUGUUUCUUAUGUUCAUUCUGUUUCUUAUUCUUCUUCUUCUUCUUUUUAUUAGUAUUAUUGUUAUUAUUAUCAUUAUUAUUAUUA
This 253-nucleotide unclassified non-coding RNA is filed under the name Hevea brasiliensis (rubber tree). Lineage: Eukaryota; Viridiplantae; Streptophyta; Magnoliopsida; Malpighiales; Euphorbiaceae. The record is from RNAcentral.